GUGAGAGCAAGAGCCCGGAGAUGGAUUCUGAGACACGAAUCCAGGCCCUACGGGGUGCAGCAGGCGCGAAAACUUUACAAUGCCGGCAACGGCGAUAAGGGGACCUCGAGUGCCAGGUUACAAAUCUGGCUGUCGUGAUGCCUAAAAAGCAUUGCAUAGCAAGGGCCGGGCAAGACCGGUGCCAGCCGCCGCGGUAACACCGGCGGCUCGAGUGGUAACCGUUAUUAUUGGGUCUAAAGGGUCUGUAGCCGGCCGGAUAAGUCUCUUGAGAAAUCCAGCAGCUCAACUGUCAGGCUUUCAGGAGAUACUGUCUGGCUCGAGGCCGGGAGAGGUGAGAGGUACUUCAGGGGUAGGGGUGAAAUCUUGUAAUCCUUGAAGGACCACCAGUGGCGAAGGCGUCUCACCAGAACGGACCUGACGGCAAGGGACGAAAGCUAGGGGCACGAACCGGAUUAGAUACCCGGGUAGUCCUAGCCGUAAACGAUACUCGCUAGGUGUCGGCCACGGUGCGACCGUUGUCGGUGCCGUAGGGAAGCCG
This 538-nucleotide ribosomal RNA is filed under the name uncultured archaeon. RNAcentral's name for it is "bacterial SSU rRNA". It matches the Rfam family "Archaeal small subunit ribosomal RNA", at positions 276 to 814 of the family's 1478-position model. The record is from RNAcentral.